This 514-nucleotide ribosomal RNA is filed under the name uncultured bacterium. Its description in RNAcentral is "partial 16S ribosomal RNA". It matches the Rfam family "Bacterial small subunit ribosomal RNA", at positions 29 to 523 of the family's 1533-position model. The record is from RNAcentral.
AGUGAACGCUGGCGGCGUGCCUAAUACAUGCAAGUCGAGCGAACAGAUGAGAAGCUUGCUUCUCUGAUGUUAGCGGCGGACGGGUGAGUAACACGUGGGUAACCUACCUAUAAGACUGGGAUAACUCCGGGAAACCGGGGCUAAUACCGGAUAAUAUUUUGAACCGCAUGGUUCAAUAGUGAAAGACGGUUUCGGCUGUCACUUAUAGAUGGACCCGCGCCGUAUUAGCUAGUUGGUAAGGUAACGGCUUACCAAGGCGACGAUACGUAGCCGACCUGAGAGGGUGAUCGGCCACACUGGAACUGAGACACGGUCCAGACUCCUACGGGAGGCAGCAGUAGGGAAUCUUCCGCAAUGGGCGAAAGCCUGACGGAGCAACGCCGCGUGAGUGAUGAAGGUCUUCGGAUCGUAAAACUCUGUUGUUAGGGAAGAGCAAAUUUGUUAGUAACUGAACAAGUCUUGACGGUACCUAACCAGAAAGCCACGGCUAACUACGUGCCAGCAGCCGCGGUAA